UGGGGAAUAUUGGGCAAUGGGGGGAAACCCUGACCCAGCAACGCCGCGUGAAGGAAGAAGGCUUUCGGGUUGUAAACUUCUUUUACCAGGGACGAAGGACGUGACGGUACCUGGAGAAAAAGCCACGGCUAACUACGUGCCAGCAGCCGCGGUAAUACGUAGGUGGCAAGCGUUGUCCGGAUUUACUGGGUGUAAAGGGCGUGUAGGCGGAGAAGCAAGUCAGAAGUGAAAUCCAUGGGCUUAACCCAUGAACUGCUUUUGAAACUGUUUCCCUUGAGUAUCGGAGAGGCAGGCGGAAUUCCUAGUGUAGCGGUGAAAUGCGUAGAUAUUAGGAGGAACAC
This 341-nucleotide ribosomal RNA is filed under the name uncultured Oscillospiraceae bacterium. RNAcentral's name for it is "bacterial SSU rRNA". It matches the Rfam family "Bacterial small subunit ribosomal RNA", at positions 355 to 709 of the family's 1533-position model. The record is from RNAcentral. Lineage: Bacteria; Bacillati; Bacillota; Clostridia; Eubacteriales; Oscillospiraceae.